This is a long non-coding RNA of Gadus chalcogrammus (walleye pollock), 6512 nucleotides long. RefSeq lists it as uncharacterized. The transcript has 2 exons. The record is from RefSeq and is a predicted model, not a curated record. Lineage: Eukaryota; Metazoa; Chordata; Actinopteri; Gadiformes; Gadidae.
GGGCCAGAAAAAGAUUAAGAGGGGCCGCAUUUGGCCCACGGGCUGCUAGUUGAAUAGGCCUGUCAUAGAGGAACAGGAGGCGGCUGCUACAGCUGAAGCCGAAGGCCUGAAAGUCGCGGACGAGGAGCCCGGAAUGGCUCGAGCCGGGGCGGAUUGGUGGUGCGUGUGCGCUCACUGUUCGCCUAUGGACACAGAGGUAGAGUCCAUCUGCUGCAAGGAAUUUCAAAGAUGUAGAUUUCUUCUUGACGAAAUCUCUGACUCAGACGAGGACACGGACAUGUGUUGUGGACCAUCCUAGUUUCGCAUUGCAUAUGGACAGCGGCGUCCUGGACACUUAUUUCAGAAUCCCAAAGGUAAACUGGAAACGUCAGCCAAAGCCUGCAGGGACGAACGGACGUCUGACUGUAAAACAAUAUCGCCUACCGACACUUUUUGGAAUGGGUCCUGCAAGGCGUGAGAUUGGGUAGAGGCUGUCGGGUCGUUUUACCUUCUUGCGUCGUGCAGACCAUCCGACAAAAAUAUCCUGCUCCAGACGGCCAGUACUGUGGACACCAAGAAGCUGACGACGUUCAGGAGGAACUAUGAGUUUCAUUGUUUACAUUUUUUUUGUUGUUUAUUUCUUGAAGUAAAUGGUUGAAAUUCACGUUGUUGAAGUCCUUAUUAGUGUUGCUCCAAGUGUAUAUCCGAGAAAUAAUUAUAUUAUUGGACGACCAACAUUUCACAAGUGGAGCUACUAAGCUGUUCCCUUGAAAAAAACAAUAGCAGAGUAACUCAUCAUUUUUAUAAAUCUAUAAGUCUAAAUUGCACUGAGUUAGUUGCAUAUCAGUUACCUCCUUCCAAGUUUAUAAUGUUGAACUUUGGUGUAGACAGACAAGAGCAGGAGUUACAUUAUAUUUCUCAUUCACAAAUGAAGUUUGUCAUGGGUAGACAACAAAUUAAAAUAAACUGGGUCAAACUAAAUAUAUUAUAAUCGCACAAACCUCUUAGGCCUACUAGGAAUACCACAACAGCAGUCAAUGGAUCAAUUAACAAUACUUUAUUAGCACCAUCAUACGACAGUGAUCGGUACUCCUGUUCUCGGGGUGAGGAGCCCCGAGACCCUUGAUUUUCUGUGUAAUAGAAUACAGAAUAGCAGAGCGGAGAGAGAUGUAGUGCAACUGCAGUAGCUGCCAUCAUGUCUGUAAUACGGGGAAUUGAUUAACCUAGCGAUUGUGGUACUUGCACUUGGUUCUAUGAACAUCCUUUCUGUACCGACAGCGAUAUAUUAAUGUACUUAUUGUAAGUCGCUUUGGAUAAAAGCGUCUGCUAAAUGCCCUAAAUGUAAAUGAGAUGGAGUUGGGCCUAAAAAAGAAAAAAAAUUGGUUCCUGUUGGUUGUCAGUUGAGAGGUCAUGGGUAGAUAGGGAAUUUUUAUUUUAAUUUUUUCCAGCGCCAGCGAAUGAUAGGUAGGUUGUUUUCAUUUGAAAACGAGAAAAUUCGCUCAUCCUUGUACAGAAUGAAGAGGUGCUGUACCAAAACGUAAUUAUAGUUUGCAUAAACUAAUUUGGCUCAUAAAAUAAUUUGGGUCCGGAACCAAACAAAAACAUUUUUGGGUGCUGGGCUGAGGUCUCAGAAGCGGCUUUUGAACAAGGUUGUGGCAGCCUCCUUUGUUGGUUUAGGUACAGGGGCAAUGUUGGCUGGCAAAGCAGGUUGUGCCAGGGUGAGUGAGGAGGUUGGGACGUUUAACGUUAUGUUAGGGUCAUGUCUUCUGUCCAUGACCCUGUUGAUGAGAUGUCUGAUAAACUCGGUGGUGUGUGGCGUGAAGAUGGUUUUCAAUAUCCACUGUUUGGACUUCUUGCAGUACGCCAGCUUGAACCGUGGUUCUCCUGUAAAUGACAAGGAAUAUGAUUACACAGAAAAUCGGAAAGAAGGUUUGUCUAGUAGACCUCUCUCCCCAGGAAUAGAUUAAACCUUUCAGCGACGUAUGCCUAUUGAGUUAGCUGUGAACUUUCUAAUUUUGGUUAAUAUACUAUUCAAAGAGCACAUGGUAACACACCUGUCACUGUGGUGGCUUGUUUCCUUUUCACAAUGUUUUCAUUGUGCUCCAGGAUAGCGAGGUAGCACCUCUCCUUCAUUCCAUCAUACGAGAAGGCCUGGCGUUUGGGGAGGUAUUUCAGGAGAGCACUAUGAAAGAUCUCCAGUGGCCCUGUGUGCAAUUAGAAUUAGAGAGAAUGGAUAGGACUAAUUAAAACAUGUUCAUUAGUGCCGUGGAAAUAUCAUAACUAAAAUAUACAAAUUAUAUUAACCUUGUUUAUAUCAUUACUAUUCACAUUAAAAUGAAUUGUAUACAUUCUCCCUUCCACUCUCUAACUGAGAGAGGUUAAGAUAGUUCACAUUUGCAUUCCCACUGCAGCCAAUAAGUCUGAUACUGAGGCCAGGCAUGUUGUGUAGAUGCCUUGCAGCCUUGUAGGCAUGUCUACUUCCCCCAUAGUGUAUUGCCGUUAGCUUGGCCGUUAAUAUGCGAGAGUAAAAGGGCAUCUAUUCUCACCAGUAUGUUUGAAGAGGGCCACCUUCUCGAGGUCUUUCAAUAGCCUUUUGUCUAGGACCAGCGACGACAGGUCCUGAAAUGCCACCGAGUCCUUCUCAAUCCACAUCCUCUUCUUCUGCUCACAGGCGGUAAGAGGAGUGUGGUCACACCGAUGACGAUUUCCGUCACCAUCUGUCCAUUCAUGUUCAUUGCAAGCAUGGUGUGGAAUGAACUUCCACCGUUUUUGCAGUGCCUGUGUGAAAGAAGAGAGUCUCAAUAAUACUGUUACGUAUUUUAAGAACACAAGCUGUAUUUCCCCCACUUAACCACUAGGGGGUAGGACCAAACAUAAGCCGUAAAUACUAUACAUAGCCACAAGGGGAGCAAGACCUUACUGAAGGCUGCAAUAAAUACUUUAGCCACAGAAGGCAGCACCACAGACCAGGCGAGGAAGCCGAGGGUUACGUCACACCGGCUCCUCCCACUACUUCCGGUCCGCGCUGUUCAGACCAUAACAGCCUACAGAUCGAGCAUGUCUUCAGAAUCUUCUCGGCAGCUAUUAUACAUACAAGGGUUAAUGUUUUUGAUCAGCUAGGAGACGCUCGCACGUGCUUAGACACAUCUUCAGUCUCUCUUUGCUUCAGAGUAUCAGUUAACCAUACCGAAAAUACUUUAUACUAAAUAAAGUCUCUUUAAAGCUAUUCCUUUGGAUUCGACCACUUUCCUUGAAGAACUCAGCAAUACUAUUUGUGCUGUUCUGAUGUUUAUUUGGUGAAAGGGAGACCCCUAGUGGUCAACUUUUAACGCAAUGUUUUUGUACUAGCAGUCUUGCCGUAGUUCGACGAUGCAUGUGAACCAACAGUCACGUACUUUUUCUCUUUUGUAUUGGUUGGCCAGAAAACACGUUUGCCUGUAAGUAGAUGUCAUACAGCUAUCUUGACAUGGAAUUAAAUUAGUUCAGAAUGUAUAUUUUGAUCUUUUAUGCUAAUCGCGAGCAUCUUAAUGUAAUUUCCAAUAGACGUUAGCCCUAAGCUAACGUAUAUGUUAAUGUUUGUUAUGAAACGUUUUAAACGGACAAUAGAUGAAUACUGUUCUUGAACGUCUGUAUGAUAUACUGAAAGAUGUAUUUUGUAUCUGUCCAGUUUUACAGUGCUUACCAAGUAAAGUUUGGAAAGGAAACAAGCUGCUUCAUUCUUUAUAAAGGGAAAACUGUUAUCUAUCUGCCGAGCUGACGCAACAGGCUAGUUCGCGCCACACACACAAGGAAGCGGGGGCAGAAUACUAUUACUAAAAAAAUAAAGAAAUCGGAGCUUAUCGCAGCUUUUGCUUCCUUACCUCUACGUCACCUUUACAUGUGGCACAGGUAAACCACAUGUGGUUGACGACAGACCAGUGAACGAUAUUAAAAUUAGUAAUUUGAAACCUUGUAAAUCAAAGGAACUUCUGCAAGAUUACAAUCCAACACUGACCUGGUCCAUGAAAGAAGGAUUUCAUGGCCCCUUUUUUUCCCCCUUCUUCAGCAUCUUUUUCCUGAAACCUGUGAUCGUUAAUGCAGCAUAAUUUGUGAAACACCAAUAAUUUCCAAUUAUUUCUGUAUUGUCUCCAUUCACCCUGUCUUAGCCAUAUAUAUCCUUUUAGCUAUUACUACUAUUGCACAGGGUGUGGCUUGUCACUGGGAUUUAGGUAGAACUACAGGUGUGGUGAUCAGUUAGGCAAAAUUGUGGAUAGUGGGGGGAACAAUGUGUGAAGUACCAAACUUUGAUAAUUGGAGCACUAGCCAAAUAUGACGCAUGUCAGGACCUAUGAUUCUGUUUUGCUAUGUGUUGAGAACAUUUUGAUAUCCAUGCAGAGGGUUUAUAAGAUAGCCUCCACACACACCUUCUAGUUUCUCUCUCUCAACCCCCUCCCAGAGCUUCAAAGCAUUGCUUCCCUCAGCAAGUGUAGACGUGUGGAUUGUGUGUUUUCUUGAAUGAAAGGAGUUCAGCGAGGCUGCAUAGAUCUGGGCAGGGGUGGUGAUACCAUGAGGUAUCAAUGGGGGGUAGGCGUCAAUGGGGGAUGGUCCAGAGAAGAAUUGCGUGUGUAUGUUUACAAGGAUGGCAAAAAAUACAUACCUUUGGCUGUGUGCCAGAUGUCAAAUUCGUGCUGGACACUAGGAUAUUGUUCCCGAAUUAUUUUUUGUAUUGACGAGGAGCGGCCCGUGGCCAUCACCUCCACGUCAAGGCCCAAGUCCAGAAGCUCAGUCAUUCCUCUCGUAAAACCCAGUGGCUCCAUGGGUCCGGAGCUGGUGGCCUCUCUACACUAAAGAUUCAAGUUUGAUAAGUUGCAUGUCAUCAAAAUGUUCAACAUAGAAAGAUUAAUUUUCCAUUAUUGUUAUUCUGCAUCCAUUUAUAUGUAUCUUACCUGCACCAGUUCUGUGUGGAGUAUCUCCUUUGUGUCGUCCAACAUAAAAGGUGUAGUGGCAGUAUUUUGCAUUGAAGCCUGGCGAGUCACAUCGGCCAUCACCUGCCAAAUGUGGCCUCUUCCCAUCUUCCUGUUCCAAAUAAACUCUUGCCAAGAGUUCUGUUCUUUUCUCCCUAUAGACGUUCUCAAUAGCCGGGUGCAAGUACGCCUUCUGAAUGUUAUAGAACGUAGUUGCCCAAUCAUUUGGAGACCCAUGGUUUGGCACCAGUCUGAGAGUUCUGUGUAUGUGCCGCCCCUGAACAGAACAGCUGCAGCUGAAAGGAGAUUAACCUCUGGCAUUCCCCUUACGUCAGGUGAAGAUGUCCAAGUGCCCCAGAAUCAAAGAUGGUCUUCGAUGAAAUCGGUUUCCCACACAUCUGGCAAAAUUUGAAUAGUGACAUGAGGCUGGAUUCAUUGACAAUAAUCUUCUUUUCACGCCAGUCCUUUACACCUUCAUCCUCUGAUGACGACGCCGAUGUGGGGGUGAGGGUUGAUUCAGGCCGAUAGCUUUCGUCGGUUUCACCAACUUCAAGGCUACUGGCACUGGUAUCGAGGCCUGGUGACUAUAAAACAAAAAGAGGUUUAUUUUCAAUGUUAAAUUCCACAAAUUGCAGUAGUUUUACAAUUCCAUUACAGACAAUAUGCUGUACAAACUUACAAACUGUGCUCUGCCAGAGGGAGGAUUCUCCAUUGGUGUUGACAUCAGUGGCGCCGACUGGUCUUCCUCAUCUUCUGACGACGAGAACAAAGCUGCAGCAGACGUUGUUAGAGUCUGAAAUGAGAUAUGAUCAAUAAACAUUUUAAUAACAUAAAACUAACAUACGUGAAACAUCGUAGAACAUCGAUAACAGCAAACGUCGAUAGAAUACUCAGCAACCAACAACACCUACGACCACAAUGAAAUGACAGCCAUGCCGGCAAUGCGUUGUGCAGUGGGCUACUGCACAACAAAUUGCCUGCAUGUCUGUCGUUUGAUUGUGGUUGCUGAGUUACCACUGAAAUCAAUGGGUCAGUGGGUGAGAUCGGUCGUCAAGAUGUGCGCGCAAAGCUACAGUGCCGUCGCGUGAACCAAACGAAUGAGUUAUAAGUUGGCUGUUUACAAAGUAAAGCUGCCGUCUUUCGCAUGUUUUUGUUGCAUGUUGUUCUAAUGUGCCGUCAUGUAACAGUAAACAUAUUCUGACAUAACCUUAUCCAUAAUAAUUCAUCUCGGGUUUUGUGGGGUAGCUGCCGACCGAGGAGCCGAGUAGCAAAAGCUCUAGCAGUAACCUGGGGCCUCAUGUACUAAGGUUGCGUACGCACAAAAACGUGGCGUACGUCCUUUUCCACGCUCACGUUCAGAUGUACAAAACGUGAAAUGACCGUAAAAAUGUGCGGUCCCCACGCCAGCUCCAGAGCUGUCGUACGCAUGUUUCUACAGCUAUUGUUCCUUUGGCGACACUUAGAGGUGACGCUGGGAAACUGGGAAAAAAGGUGAAAACAAUGACUCAGUGAUUUGCACAUCAGAGACACACUAAUGAACAAUUAACACACCUUGCAAUUAUAUGGGUGGCUAUAAAAGCAUGCGCAAUG